GCUAGCAUGGCAUAGUGGUUUGAAUGUUAGACUAUGAUUCUAGAGGCCAGGGUUUGAUUCCCUACUGAGCUAUGA
Non-coding RNA from Phrynosoma platyrhinos (Desert horned lizard), 75 nucleotides. Lineage: Eukaryota; Metazoa; Chordata; Lepidosauria; Squamata; Phrynosomatidae. The record is from the annotation of a GenBank genome assembly.